CCUACGGGAGGCAGCAGUGAGGAAUAUUGGUCAAUGGGCGCGAGCCUGAACCAGCCAAGUAGCGUGAAGGAUGACGGCCCUACGGGUUGUAAACUUCUUUUAUAAAGGGAUAAAGUGAGGUACGUGUGCCUGUUUGUAUGUACUGUAUGAAUAAGGAUCGGCUAACUCCGUGCCAGCAGCCGCGGUAAUACGGAGGAUCCGAGCGUUAUCCGGAUUUAUUGGGUUUAAAGGGAGCGUAGAUGGGUUGUUAAGUCAGUUGUGAAAGUUUGCGGCUCAACCUUAGAAUUGCAUCUGAUACUGGUAGCCUUGAGUGCAGUUGCGGUAGGCGGAAUGCGUGGUGUAGCGGUGAAAUGCUUAGAUAUCACGCAGAACUCCGAUUGCGAAGGCAGCUUACUAAGCUGCCACUGACAUUGAUGCUCGAAAGUGUGGGUAUCAAACAGGAUUAGAUACCCUGGUAGUC
RNAcentral lists this ribosomal RNA (460 nucleotides) under uncultured bacterium. RNAcentral describes it as "partial 16S ribosomal RNA". It matches the Rfam family "Bacterial small subunit ribosomal RNA", at positions 338 to 795 of the family's 1533-position model. The record is from RNAcentral.